Triticum aestivum (bread wheat) is the source of this 714-nucleotide long non-coding RNA. RefSeq lists it as uncharacterized. The record is from RefSeq and is a predicted model, not a curated record. The transcript is spliced from 4 exons. NCBI's taxonomy places the organism in Eukaryota, Viridiplantae, Streptophyta, Magnoliopsida, Poales, Poaceae.
CCCAGCCUUCCUAUUCCUCUCGAUCCUAUAGGAUCCCACGCCGGCCGCCGCCCUCGACCUAACUGCAUCCGGGAGCGCCGCCCCUCACCAGUCACCACUCCCCUGGAAGGCCGCCCCUCAGGCCCUCACCACUCCCCUUGUGAUCCUCCAUCCCGGCGCGUCGUCGCUAGUCAACGCUCCCCGUCGACCUGCUUCCCGUCACGCCGUUCCUCUCGCCACCGCUCCCCUUCGACGACCUACUGCAUCUACUACCUCCGCACGAGGGCCUGCGGCUAUGGGAAGAGUUACCACUACAACCACCCUCGAGAUCACGGUACCGUGUCGCUGAUAAUGACCGACAGGUUGAAUUAUGGAUGGUUGGUGCGGAGGGGAGCUUCAAGAUGAAGCAUCUUGCUGUGAUUAAACUGAUUUUAGUUAUGGCUUAGGAGCCUGUCACGAGCCCAUGUAUGUGGCAUGCAAGCAAAGGAGAGGAUGACCAUGACAAUUACCAAUUCUACCUUACAUUUUAUCUGACAAGAUUCAAAAUAUAAAUGGAUGAUUAUAUGGCUAUGUGGCAAGUAUACUGCAAAGAUGAUGAUGAUGAUGUCUUGUUCAUGAUGAUGACGAUGGAUGCUUUCAGUUUUGAUUAAGUUUCAGGGAUGAUGUUCCUCGGUUAACUUUUAGAUUAGUUGUACGGAUAUUGAUGGAUGCUUUUAGUUUAAGUUUCGCUGUCAA